UACGGAGGAUCCGAGCGUUAUCCGGAUUUAUUGGGUUUAAAGGGUGCGUAGGCGGUUCGAUAAGUUGGAGGUGAAAUGUUAGGGCUUAACCCUGAAACUGCCUCCAAUACUGUUGGGCUAGAGAGUAGUUGCGGUAGGCGGAAUGUAUGGUGUAGCGGUGAAAUGCCUAGAGAUCAUACAGAACACCGAUUGCGAAGGCAGCUUACCAAACUAUAUCUGACGUUGAGGCACGAAAGCGUGGGGAGCAAACAGG
Molecule: ribosomal RNA, 253 nt
Filed under: uncultured bacterium
Lineage: Bacteria
Description: partial 16S ribosomal RNA
Rfam family: Bacterial small subunit ribosomal RNA
Source: RNAcentral